UACUCCUACGGGAGGCAGCAGUAAGGAAUAUUGGUCAAUGGGCGCAAGCCUGAACCAGCCAUGCCGCGUGCAGGAAGACGGCCCUAUGGGUUGUAAACUGCUUUUGUCAGGGAAUAAACCCCCGCUCGUGAGCGGGGCUG
RNAcentral lists this ribosomal RNA (140 nucleotides) under uncultured bacterium. RNAcentral describes it as "partial 16S ribosomal RNA". It matches the Rfam family "Bacterial small subunit ribosomal RNA", at positions 334 to 471 of the family's 1533-position model. The record is from RNAcentral.